RNAcentral lists this transfer RNA (77 nucleotides) under Arthrobacter sp. NamB2. Its description in RNAcentral is "tRNA-Lys". It matches the Rfam family "tRNA". From Rfam's summary of the family: Transfer RNA (tRNA) molecules are approximately 80 nucleotides in length. Their secondary structure includes four short double-helical elements and three loops (D, anti-codon, and T loops). Further hydrogen bonds mediate the characteristic L-shaped molecular structure. tRNAs have two regions of fundamental functional importance: the anti-codon, which is responsible for specific mRNA codon recognition, and the 3' end, to which the tRNAs corresponding amino acid is attached (by aminoacyl-tRNA synthetases). tRNAs cope with the degeneracy of the genetic code in two manners: having more than one tRNA (with a specific anti-codon) for a particular amino acid; and 'wobble' base-pairing, i.e. permitting non-standard base-pairing at the 3rd anti-codon position. Lineage: Bacteria; Bacillati; Actinomycetota; Actinomycetes; Micrococcales; Micrococcaceae. The record is from RNAcentral.
GGGCCCUUAGCUCAGUUGGCUAGAGCAACGGACUUUUAAUCCGUGGGUCGUGGGUUCGAGCCCCACAGGGCCCACCC